Molecule: unclassified non-coding RNA, 254 nt
Filed under: Hevea brasiliensis (rubber tree)
Lineage: Eukaryota; Viridiplantae; Streptophyta; Magnoliopsida; Malpighiales; Euphorbiaceae
Source: RNAcentral
ACUCCCUCAGUCCCUCUAUCUUCUUACACUAUAAUUUAGCCCCUAAAUAAAAAUCCUAAUAUUGAGUAAAAUGUCAUUGGAAAAAUUAUAGAAAAAUAUUGAAAAAAUUUUAGACAAUAUCAAAGAGAUUAUUAAAAAGGAAACAUUCAGCAUCAUUUACAUUGUGGAUGGUUCAAAUAAAUAACUUUCAUUCCAUGACUAAUUUGUCUCAAAAAUAGCAUAUAAAAUUUUGAACUCUUACAAUUUUUUUUUUG